AGAGUACAAACUGGCAUAAUGGGAGAAGAAGGUGGAUAGUUAGGAGAGAGCUGACUGAGUGCCGUAAAGCCAAAGGUGGAAGCUGAGCCGUCCUCUUCGUCGACCGGCUUGGGCCCGACCGUUCACCGCCUGAAUCGGCCACCGUCUGGUCACUCCUCUCCUCCCUCCCCCCCACCCAGGUCACAGCCAGAGACAUGUGAGUUCUGCUGGUGACAAGCCACGGUCGUCUCCUUAGGCUACCGUAGUUUCCGGUUUCCAGGCCUGUGGAAGGGGAGCCGAUGUGUGCGUGUGAAGAAUUCUUCAAAGAGCAAACAGACUAAGAUUUUCCCACUUCCAAACCAGAAUCCAGACCUCAACCAAAGAGCCGAAACACCUGCCUCUUUAGGGGAACCCCUGGAUGAGUUGUGCAGAAUUCCAAGAAGAUUGUUUGCUGAGAUUCUUUGCAGCCGAGGAACAUGAAGCAAGAGAUGCCUCCCUUUACUCACUGAACCAGCAAGGUCUGCCAAAAUGUCUGAAAGAUCAGAUCUCCUUCACUUCAAGUUUGAAAAUUAUGGAGAUUCAAUGUUACAGAAAAUGAACAAAUUAAGAGAAGAAAACAAGUUUUGUGAUGUUACGGUUCACAUAGAUGACGUUGAGGUUCAGGGCCAUAAAAUUGUUUUCGCUGCAGGCUCCCCUUUCCUGAGAGAUCAGUUUUUGCUGAACGACUCCAGGGAGGUGAAAAUCUCUAUUUUGCAGAGUUCAGAAGUGGGAAGGCAACUGCUGUUAUCCUGUUACAGUGGGAUUCUGGAGUUUCCCGAGAUGGAACUCGUCAAUUAUUUGACGGCGGCCAGCUUUCUCCAGAUGAGUCAUAUCGUCGAAAGAUGCACCCAGGCCCUGUGGAAGUUCAUAAAGCCCAAACAGCCGUUGGAGGGCAAGGAGGAUUGCGAGCAACACAGCGAUUCUUCAGAGUCAAAAGAUCACCGGGGAGAUGACCGGGAGUCUCAGAAGCGGGAUUCGCCCUGCAUUCAGCCCUCCGAGGACAGCAUGGACAUGGAGGACAGCGACAUCCAGAUCGUCAAAGUGGAAUCUAUCGGCGAGGUGUCAGAGGUGAGGAAUAGCAAGAAGGAACCGAGUCAGUUUGCCUCCUCUGAACCCGCGGCUUUGCAUUCGUCGGAACCUCAGCAUUCCUUAAUCAAUUCAACGGUGGAGAACAGAGUGAGCGAGAUUGAACAAAACCACCUCCACAACUAUGCUCUUUCUUACGCAGGGAGCGACGGCGUCGUCCUGGCCUCCAAAGACGUGUUUGGCCCUAACCCUCGGGGCGUCGACAAAGGCCUGCAGUGGCAUCACCAGUGCCCCAAGUGUACCAGGGUAUUUCGACAUCUGGAGAACUACGCCAACCAUUUAAAGAUGCAUAAACUCUUUAUGUGUCUGCUCUGCGGCAAGACUUUCACCCAGAAGGGCAACCUCCACCGGCACAUGAGAGUCCACGCGGGGAUUAAACCUUUCCAGUGUAAGAUCUGCGGGAAAACCUUCUCCCAGAAGUGCUCCCUGCAGGAUCAUCUCAACCUCCACAGUGGCGAUAAGCCCCACAAAUGUAACUAUUGUGACAUGGUCUUUGCCCACAAACCCGUUCUGAGGAAACACCUUAAGCAGCUACACGGUAAAAACAGCUUUGACAAUGCAAAUGAAAGAAACGUGCAAGACCUAACUGUGGACUUUGAUUCCUUUGCCUGUACUGCUGUCUCAGACAGCAAAGGGUGCCAGCCGCAACCUGAGGCCGCCCAGGUUCUGGAUGCAGGUAAACUGGCCCAGGCUGUUCUCAGUUUAAGGAGCGACGGUGCCUGUGUUAAUUAACUAGGUGUGGACGCACACGGCUGUCUGACCAAGAACGGGCGAAGAGUAGAGUGAGAGCUGGGCGAUUGAAAGAGCAGACUCAAAGGCUUCCUAGGUCUAAGGGCGAACCGGUAAGACUACUACUGACCUUGGGAAGCUAUUUCUUUAAAAUGUGUGUGGCCAGAGUUGAGGUUAAUUACUUCUGUCUUUGAAUCCUAUAUGACAAUGUAAGCAGUACUUAAAGUAAAUUCAGAAAGAAGUUCAGGAAGAGGGAAGUUGCAUGUAGCGGGAACCUUUUAGGGCUUGGUGUGAACAGCUGUGCCAAGGUAAACAGAGAAUAAAAUCCAACAGACUGAAGUGGCUGAGUCUUGGAAAUGUCAAUCGGACCUGGUUGCAAUUCUGUUUUUAUGAAAAACCGUUGUAAGAACACUGCUUCACCCUAACUGCCGUUAUCGACAAAGUUUGUAACUACCUGCCCUCUUCCGUCACCACGCCAGCUAAUGGACAGCUUUCCUAAACUUGCUGUAUGUUACACAUACUGACUCUAAACUACCUCUUCACCUAUUAUGAGGAAGUUUCCUUAAUAAAAGUGUGACGACUAAA
Tachyglossus aculeatus (Australian echidna) is the source of this 2418-nucleotide RNA transcript. It is a transcript of the gene named zinc finger and BTB domain containing 26, with no coding region annotated. The record is from RefSeq and is a predicted model, not a curated record. The transcript has 4 exons. NCBI's taxonomy places the organism in Eukaryota, Metazoa, Chordata, Mammalia, Monotremata, Tachyglossidae.